This 501-nucleotide ribosomal RNA is filed under the name Paenibacillaceae bacterium CL7.27. Its description in RNAcentral is "bacterial SSU rRNA". It matches the Rfam family "Bacterial small subunit ribosomal RNA", at positions 11 to 486 of the family's 1533-position model. Lineage: Bacteria; Bacillati; Bacillota; Bacilli; Caryophanales; Paenibacillaceae. The record is from RNAcentral.
GCCUUGAUCCCUGGCUCAGGACGAACGCUGGCGGCAUGCCUAAUACAUGCAAGUCGAGCGGAGUUGUUUUGAAAGCUUGCUUCCAAAACAACUAUGCGGCGGACGGGUGAGUAACACGUAGGUAACCUGCCUGUAAGACUGGGAUAACUACCGGAAACGGUAGCUAAUACCGGAUAAUUUGUUUCUUCUCAUGAAGAGACACUGAAAGGCGGAGUAAUCUGCCACUUAUAGAUGGGCCUGCGGCGCAUUAGCUAGUUGGUGAGGUAACGGCUCACCAAGGCGACGAUGCGUAGCCGACCUGAGAGGGUGAACGGCCACACUGGGACUGAGACACGGCCCAGACUCCUACGGGAGGCAGCAGUAGGGAAUCUUCCGCAAUGGACGAAAGUCUGACGGAGCAAUGCCGCGUGAGUGAUGAAGGUUUUCGGAUCGUAAAGCUCUGUUGCCAGGGAAGAACGCUUGGGAGAGUAACUGCUCUCCAAGGUGACGGUACCUGAGAAA